Molecule: ribosomal RNA, 241 nt
Filed under: uncultured bacterium
Lineage: Bacteria
Description: partial 16S ribosomal RNA
Rfam family: Bacterial small subunit ribosomal RNA
Source: RNAcentral
UAGGCGACCGGGUGAGUAACACGUGACUAACCUACCUUCGAGUGGGGGAUAACCUCGGGAAACCGAGGCUAAUACCGCAUAACAUCCUUGGGUCGAAAGAUCUGAAGACCAAAGCAGCAAUGCUCUUGAAGAGGGGGUCGCGGCUGAUUAGCUAGUUGGCGGGGUAACGGCCCACCAAGGCGAAGAUCGGUAGCCGGCCUGAGAGGGCGCACGGCCACACUGGAACUGAAACACGGUCCAG